This is a long non-coding RNA of Brassica napus (rape), 1331 nucleotides long. RefSeq lists it as uncharacterized. The transcript is spliced from 2 exons. Lineage: Eukaryota; Viridiplantae; Streptophyta; Magnoliopsida; Brassicales; Brassicaceae. The record is from RefSeq and is a predicted model, not a curated record.
CGUAGUAAUUUAACAAAAAUAUGAAAAAUCUCAAAUAAAUAGAUGAAAUCUAUAAUUCAUGUAUGUGUUCAAUUGCAUUAAUAGGGUUGUAGUGCACAAUCGAUAAGUUUGGGGAGAAAUUUAUUUAAUUUGGAUGUUUGGGGGCGUAAAUGAAAACAGCCAAAAGAUAAUGGACCAUUCAUGCAAUUGUGAAGAAGGACUGAAAUAUACAAUUGAUAUUUUUGGGGUAGAUUCAUGGAAAAAUAAUUACGAUUUAAUAGUUUGUUGCAAAAACAAGAAAAACAAAGAAACUGAAGGAUCUAAACAUAAAUAUGAACAAGUUGGCCGUUAGAGAAGCUCGAGAUCGCGGUUGACGUCGCAAAUCGAACACGACCACGAUGAUGAGCGUGAUGGUUCUGAGAAGAAACUAUCUCUAUUGCUAUGGUGGAAGAAGACGAUUGCAGUGACAAACGGUGAGCUUGAUUGCCAUUUGAGACCACGAGGAAGAAGAUCUGCGACGGUUUAGAUUGGUGGUCAAAAUUGUUUGAAGACGCAGUAGAAACAUGGUCUUGGUGUAGAUAAGACAGAGGAUUUUGGUUGAAAGAAGCUUGACGGAAACUUGAAUCAUGGUGGAGAUGGAGAGAACACGAUGGAGGUAACCUACGCCGGCGGAGAUUUUUGUUUUUUGUUUUUGUUUUUUUUUUUUAAUUAAUUCAUUAAUGGUGUUAUGGUAAUUCAUACGAUAGAGGUCCAUACAGAUUAAUUUAGUUUGUAGGAGAUUUUUUUAAGCUUUUUGAUCUAUUUCCGAAUUUUGUCCAAGAAUCAUCAGCAAAAAAGAGAUGAUAUACUGAUGGCCCUUGCUCAGAAAAUUGGAUACCAUUUAUUUCUUCUCUACGCUCCGCCUCAUUGAGCUGAUGUAAUAGCCCUUCAGUACGUAAAUCAAAAAGAAUAGGAGACAAAGGAUCACCCUGUCUCAACCCUCUACCCGGUCUUAUCAUCCCUUGAGCUUCUCUGUUAAUCAAGACAGUGUGUGUGACAGAUCGCACACAGAACAUAAUCCAUUCUCGAAAGGUCCCAGUGACUAAACAUGAACUCGAGAAGGCUACUUGGACAUUUCUGCAUACUCUUGAUGCGCAGUUGAAUACUUGACUGUUUUUUCUUUGCCCAAAAGUGACUCUUAACCAUCCAUUUGGUACAUUAGGUAUGAAUAGACUUAGAGGGAUAUUUUUUUAGUAUUGGUUGGAACUUAAAGAUAGUUGAGAGAACUCUUAGCUUUGACUUUUUGAUUCUUGCUUACGGUUGUUCUAUGCUCUUUGAUUUACUGAGUCAAACAAACAGAGUGUGCUUCAGUU